GAUAGAGUCUUGAUAUCCCAAACUCUAUAACUCUUCUUAUUGAUCUCUCAACACACCAAUUACAAGAUAGACAGAGAUUACAAGAUAACUAGAAGCUGAUAAAGUGAAUCUCAGGUUAGGAUCUCAUGGCGAUCUCAACUCGAAGACUCAACACGAUCUCAUGGCGAUCGUGAGGAAGGAAGACUCAUGGCGUCUCACUCUUUCUACAACAUCAGCAUGAAGUCUCUGCUUGUACUCUUUCUCUUCUUAUAUCGUUGAAUUGCUUCAGAACUGUGUAACAGCAUACCCUCUGAUACAAUCCACAGCUUUGCUUUACCCCAUUGCCUCAGCCACGUCAGAAACUCACCCUGCCACGUCAGACUCAGAUAAUAGAAGUCUAUCAAUACUUCCCCCUUUGAAAACAAGCUUGCCCUCAAGCUUGUAGGAAAAGAAACCCGUAUGCACUCAUUAACCGAAGUAUAUCUCCACUGAGAUGAAAGCACAGCUAGUAUAUAUGUCUUGAACGCUCCAGCUUCAAUCUCUAUACCUUUCUGCUACUUUUAGUCUAGCUUUGUAUUUGAACAUCCAUGUUUUGUACCACCUCUUCCAUUUCCGCCUCUGUUGUAUCAGAACUUGCAACCUGUGUCUCUUGAUACACACCAAUAAUAUGAAUCUUCUUUCUCUAAGCAGAUGAUAAUUCACCACUACUAUCUUCCAUAAUAUGCCCUGUACUAUCUUUUCCUUCUCUUUCCUAACAUAUUUGUUGAUGAUAUCAGACUCGCUUGCUGUUGUAAACCACCAAAUCAGCACACCCACUAUAAACAAGCAAGCAUGUAUGCUCAUGUAUGCUUCCCUCCUUGAAAACAAGCUUGACCUCAAGCUUGAGCAUAACAUAAUGAUGGAAUCACUCUCAAGAAAUGACCCAUGUUGCUGCAACGUCAAACACCACCACUGCCAAAUAACUGCAGAAAUCAUGUAAGAACUGAUGUCGUUCAUAUAUUUAUGUUCCAUGAUCGCAAGCUGUUCCCCACGAUUCCCAAAUGGCUGCAGAAAUUUGUAUUUCCACUUCCAAGUUUUAACAAACUUCCUCUGUCGGUGCUUACUUGGUACUCUUCUCACUUUAAGAUCACUGCAAGAUCCUCCCAGUUCCAACCACCAACGGAGAUGUCUCUCGUCCAGUCGCGCUAACAUUCUCCUGACCAAAACAGACUUUGUGGCAUCAUUCUCAUCAACCAACUGGUCCACACAACCUUCUGAAUCUGACACUGGUGUGAAGUGUUUCACUCUCCAUUUGUGAUUCACAUGGUAUGUCAAAACACCAAGAAACAACUGUCUCCCAUACUUUGAAUCCUGCCUCCUCUUCACAGUAAGAAGCUCCUUAUGUUUCCUUUCAUCAGUGACUUGUUUUGAAUUCAUUUGUAACAUGAUUCUCAGCAGACUCAAUGGUUUAUACUUGAAUUUCCAAGUUUUUAAGCCUUUUCUCUGCCGCUUCUUAAUUGGAACCCGUCGCAACCUGUGACCACACAGUCGAGAGACACAAGCAAUCUCCAAAUUCUCUUCAUCAAUAAUCACAGUUUCUCUCAAGAAUUGCACUGAAUCUAUUUCUUCCAAAACUGGUGCUGAUGAAUAAUUCUCCUUCACGAAGUCAUGCCUCAGAAACAAACCAGUCUGCUGUUCAAGUGCAUUAAGUGAGUCUUGUGGAACCAUUUCUUCUGUCUCUUCAUAAGCCUUCAUAUCAAUUGCUUCUACAAGUGGUGAAUUUAACUUCCCCACCAAUUCUGUCUCACGAACAGCUUCAUUGAUCAAUGUGGAUUCAUCUUUCUCCUGAACUAGCUCUUCCUCUUGAUCAGUCGCAUGAAAUUUAUCUUUCUCUCUUUCAGUCUGCGUCACCAUUACUACUCGAGGAGAACACUCUUUGACUGAACCAAAUGGCUUCAGAGAAUCAGUAUUCUGCACAAUCUCAAUGGCUUCAUGUUCGCAUCUCAAACAAGCCGUUUGGUCAAUCUCACAAAGUGAGUCAGCCACAUAUGGACUUGUCUCUUCAGUCUCUAGCUCAGCAGAAACAUCUUCCUCAGUUGGUGAUGCUGUCUUCUUCACCAAUUUUAUCUCAGGCACAGCUUCACUGCUACAAGAUGAUUCAUCCUUUAACUUCACAGCUACUGAAGAACAACUCCGAACAUGACCAAAUCGCUCCAGCAACUGUAACUUGAAGUCACUCCAAUCCUUGAAUUUCGUUCUGCGCCUCACACAAUAAAACCAUCGACGAGCAGCUCCUUCCAAAUACAGAAAAAUAAGGUCUAGUUUUGCAUCAUCUUCAUAAUGACAAAAGAACCGAUCAGCUUUCACAAUCCAACUUUCUGGAUUUGCUCCAUCAAACAUAGGCAAGUCCUCAAACACAGGCAUCUCAGCAUUUUUGAUAAUAUGAUCACUACUUUCAACAUUCAACACAUCAGCUCGAUAACCUAAUUGAGAAUCCUUCCUGUUUUGUUCCAUAUUCUGAAGCGAUACCUGAGAAUGAAAUGUCACAGAUGUCGGAGCUUCGUUCUUUCGCAAGUCACCAUCUAUCACUCGUGAGGCCAAUUUCUCCUUCCCUGAUAUCAUACUCCGAUUAUCAUUCAUGGCAGAUCUCCUCGAUGCAAGGAAUUUUUGGAGUCCACCAGUCAAAUACUCCAUCAACACAACACUAUCACUCUCGAACGACGAUCGCGACUCCAGUUUGUUAACCGCCAGAACAUCCAUAGAUUUCAUCGUUUGUUGAUCGAACGACGACGACGACGACCGCGAGUUUCUGUUCAUCGUCUUUGCCAUCUUCAUCGCAUCGAACUCCAGAUUCCAACCUCUCUGAAAAGCUGUUGUAUCACGUCGAAUGGAUCCGUAACCUCCAUAAUCUUCGCAACCUCUGUAAGAUCCAUAAACAGAACCAUCGCGUCUCUCCAUUCUCACCGCCGAUUCACCAAAUUAAAUCACCACCGCGUUGGAUUCGAAACCGUUUCACCGCACCAAUGAUAGAGUCUUGAUAUCCCAAACUCUAUAACUCUUCUUAUUGAUCUCUCAACACACCAAUUACAAGAUAGACAGAGAUUACAAGAUAACUAGAAGCUGAUAAAGUGAAUCUCAGGUUAGGAUCUCAUGGCGAUCUCAACCCGAAGACUCAACACGAUCUCAUGGCGAUCGUGAGGAAGGAAGACUCAUGGCGUCUCACUCUUUCUACAACAUCAGCAUGAAGUCUCUGCUUGUACUCUUUCUCUUCUUAUAUCGUUGAAUUGCUUCAGAACUGUGUAACAGCAUACCCUCUGAUACAAUCCACAGCUUUGCUUUACCCCAUUGCCUCAGCCACGUCAGAAACUCACCCUGCC
RNAcentral lists this long non-coding RNA (3335 nucleotides) under Brassica napus (rape). Its description in RNAcentral is "long non-coding RNA (BNAP_LNC005511)". Lineage: Eukaryota; Viridiplantae; Streptophyta; Magnoliopsida; Brassicales; Brassicaceae. The record is from RNAcentral.